UUCCAGACUCCUACGGGAGGCAGCAGUGGGGAAUAUUGCACAAUGGGGGAAACCCUGAUGCAGCGACGCCGCGUGAGCGAUGAAGUAUUUCGGUAUGUAAAGCUCUAUCAGCAGGGAAGAAGAUGACGGUACCUGACUAAGAAGCCCUGGCUAACUACGUGCCAGCAGCCGCGGUAAUACGUAGGGGGCAAGCGUUAUCCGGAUUUACUGGGUGUAAAGGGAGCGUAGACGGCGAUGCAAGCCAGAUGUGAAAGCCCGGGGCUCAACCCCGGGACUGCAUUUGGAACUGUGUGGCUGGAGUGUCGGAGAGGCAGGCGGAAUUCCUAGUGUAGCGGUGAAAUGCGUAGAUAUUAGGAGGAACACCAGUGGCGAAGGCGGCCUGCUGGACGAUGACUGACGUUGAGGCUCGAAAGCGUGGGGAGCAAACAGGAUUAGAUACCCCUGUAUAC
This 449-nucleotide ribosomal RNA is filed under the name uncultured bacterium. RNAcentral's name for it is "bacterial SSU rRNA". It matches the Rfam family "Bacterial small subunit ribosomal RNA", at positions 329 to 795 of the family's 1533-position model. The record is from RNAcentral.